CCUUCGAGCCGCGACCCAUUUCUUUCUCGGGACUCCAUCUCCCGAGCCCGGUACUUAAGCGGUGUCGCCGGUCUCCGCGGCUCCUGAAUCCCGCAGCUUCAGGGCGGAUCGUGGCUGGCUGGCCACCCCCCGCAGGGCCGCGUGGGAGUGGGCUCUCCUCGACCCUUUGUUCUCCCUCCUGACGCAGCAGCCGCAAGGAGGAUGGCUGUGCCUUCUCAAGGCUCUGUCCUUCUUCCAAGACAGAGCAUAGUGGAAGAAGAGGAGGGAAUGAUCCCUGGGCUUCUAACAGCCAGGUCUCGGGUAAGUUAGGGGUUUUUCCUCUCCUGAAAUAUUCUCAGUUCUCAGAGUACGGCUGCUUUUUGUUCUGUUCUCCUUGGUCUUUCCUGCCCAUCCAAAUUCUGUACAGAGACCUGAACCCUAAUUGCUUUCUCUAAGAAGGCAGCAUAUUUCGGCAAAUGAAGUAGUUAUUUGUAAGAGUUAAAGGGAACAUUAGAGAUUAUCUCGUACGACCUCCUUAUUUGGGCCCUUGACAUGAAGUGAUGGGCUCAGUAUUUCCAGAGGUUGGAUUUGGACUAGGUUUCUCAACCUCCAGUUCUGUACUUUUUCCACUAAACCACAGGACUCUGUAGAAAAUGCCCGUCAUUGUCUCCUUUAAUGUUCUUCCUCAGUAUCCCUCUCCUCUCUACGUGAGUUGGUUAUUCAUUGAAGCAUUAUAGCAGAGCAGAAAGAGGGCUGGAUUUGGAGUGGGCGAAGAUCUAGACUUGCCAUAGGCUUCAUUUGACUUUUUGGAUUAUGUUUGCCCGUUUGUAAAAUGGGGAUAAUACUAUUCCUAAUGUUUACAGUACUGGUUCACCCCAUUAGUUCAAAUAAUAAAGCCCCCUGAAGUGGUCA
Molecule: long non-coding RNA, 891 nt
Filed under: Phascolarctos cinereus (koala)
Lineage: Eukaryota; Metazoa; Chordata; Mammalia; Diprotodontia; Phascolarctidae
Description: lncRNA (ENSPCIG00000035312.1)
Source: RNAcentral